RNAcentral lists this ribosomal RNA (467 nucleotides) under uncultured bacterium. RNAcentral describes it as "partial 16S ribosomal RNA". It matches the Rfam family "Bacterial small subunit ribosomal RNA", at positions 28 to 507 of the family's 1533-position model. The record is from RNAcentral.
GACGAACGCUGGCGGCGUGCUUAACACAUGCAAGUCGAACGGAAAGGCCUCAGCUUGCUGGGGUACUCGAGUGGCGAACGGGUGAGUAACACGUGGGUGAUCUGCCUUGCACUCUGGGAUAAGCUUGGGAAACUGGGUCUAAUACCGGAUAUGAACUGCCUUUAGUGUGGUGGUUGGAAAGUUUUUUCGGUGCAAGAUGAGCUCGCGGCCUAUCAGCUUGUUGGUGGGGUAAUGGCCUACCAAGGCGUCGACGGGUAGCCGGCCUGAGGGGGUGUACGGCCACAUUGGGACUGAGAUACGGCCCAGACUCCUACGGGAGGCAGCAGUGGGGAAUAUUGCACAAUGGGCGGAAGCCUGAUGCAGCGACGCCGCGUGGGGGAUGACGGCCUUCGGGUUGUAAACUCCUUUCGACAGGGACGAAGCUUUUUGUGACGGUACCUGUAGAAGAAGCACCGGCUAACUACGUG